GACGAACGCUGGCGGCGUGCUUAACACAUGCAAGUCGAACGGAAAGGCCCUGCUUUUGUGGGGUGCUCGAGUGGCGAACGGGUGAGUAACACGUGAGUAACCUGCCCUUGACUUUGGGAUAACUUCAGAAAACUGGGGCUAAUACCGGAUAGGAGCUCCUGCUGCAUGGUGGGGGUUGGAAAGUUUCGGCGGUUGGGGAUGGACUCGCGGCUUAUCAGCUUGUUGGUGGGGUAGUGGCUUACCAAGGCUUUGACGGGUAGCCGGCCUGAGAGGGUGACCGGCCACAUUGGGACUGAGAUACGGCCCAGACUCCUACGGGAGGCAGAAGUGGGGAAUAUUGCACAAUGGGCGGAAGCCUGAUGCAGCAACGCCGCGUGCGGGAUGACGGCCUUCGGGUUGUAAACCGCUUUCGCCUGUGACGAAGCGUGAGUGACGGUAAUGGGUAAAGAAGCACCGGCUAACUACGUG
RNAcentral lists this ribosomal RNA (468 nucleotides) under uncultured bacterium. RNAcentral's name for it is "partial 16S ribosomal RNA". It matches the Rfam family "Bacterial small subunit ribosomal RNA", at positions 28 to 507 of the family's 1533-position model. The record is from RNAcentral.